Molecule: regulatory RNA element, 86 nt
Rfam family: RpsF leader
About the family: Conserved and widely distributed to many bacterial species RNA structure. It precedes operon containing rpsF, which encodes ribosomal protein S6.
Source: Rfam
GUCAUUUUUCGACUUAUACUCCUUGCUUCCAUGGGCUGUGUUAACCAUGACAGGAAGCUGAAUAAUCCGUAAGGAGCAACUCUAUG